This 547-nucleotide non-coding RNA is filed under the name Exophiala calicioides. RNAcentral describes it as "partial contains 18S rRNA, ITS1, 5.8S rRNA, ITS2 and 28S rRNA". The stretch from base 81 to 435 matches the Rfam family "Group I catalytic intron". Rfam says of the family: Group I catalytic introns are large self-splicing ribozymes. They catalyse their own excision from mRNA, tRNA and rRNA precursors in a wide range of organisms. Lineage: Eukaryota; Fungi; Ascomycota; Eurotiomycetes; Chaetothyriales; Herpotrichiellaceae. The record is from RNAcentral.
GUAACAAGGUUUCCGUAGCCUCGAACCGCUAGGGGGAGAGGCGCGGGGCGAUCAAAAAUGAUCCUUCCAAUGGUGACGCCAUGGGAGCCUUAGCAGCCCGAAAGGGUGCGGGUCCGCGACUGAAAAUAAUGAGAUGCCCUGAAAUGCUAGUCAGUGUUGAAGAACACUGGCAACACCGUCAAAUUGCGGGAACCUCCUAAAGCCUUUCACUACCAAACAGCCACCGGGAAACCGGGCUGUGGCCAGGGUAAUGACCUCGGGUAUGGUAACAACGUGGAAGGAUGAGCUUCUGUUUCUCGGAGGCGAAAUGGACGAUCUGCAGCCAAGUCCUAAGGGUCCUUCGGGGUCACGGAUGCUGUUCACAGGCCAAAUGGUGGUGGGUGGACUUUCUCGAGUCUGCUUAAGAUAUGGUCGGGCCCCUAGGGAAACCUGGGGGGUAGUCACCGCACAGUCAAAUUGAGACGGGGAGCGUAGUUGUGCUCUCGGUCAUAGGCGGCUGUGCAACUGAAGAGCGCCGAAGUAAAGGCCUCGAAAUAGUGCGUGGGGA